AACACGUGGGCAACCUGCCUGUAAGACUGGGAUAACUUCCGGAAACCGGAACUAAUACCGGAUAAUGCUUUUGGACUCCUGUCCUUAAGCUGAAAGAUGGUUUCGGCUAUCACUUACAGAUGGGCCCGCGGCGCAUUAACUAGUUGGUGAGGUAACGGCUCACCAAGGCAACGAUGCGUAGCCCACCUGAAAGGGUGAUCGGCCACCCUGGGACUGAAACCCGGCCCAAACUCCUACGGGAGGCAGCAGUAGGGAAUCUUCCGCAAUGGACGAAAGUCUGACGGAACAACGCCGCGUGAGUGAUGAAGGUUUUCGGAUCGUAAAACUCUGUUGUUAGGGAAAAACAAGUAUCGGAAUAACUGCCGGUACCUUGACGGUACCUAACCAAAAAGCCCCGGCUAACUACUUGCCAGCGGCCGCGGUAAUACGUAGGUGGCAAGCGUUGUCCGGAAUUAUUGGGCGUAAAGCGCGCGCAGGCGGUCCUUUAAGUCUGAUGUGAAAGCCCACGGCUCAACCGUGGAGGGUCAUUGGAAA
This 534-nucleotide ribosomal RNA is filed under the name Cytobacillus gottheilii. RNAcentral's name for it is "bacterial SSU rRNA". It matches the Rfam family "Bacterial small subunit ribosomal RNA", at positions 112 to 632 of the family's 1533-position model. Lineage: Bacteria; Bacillati; Bacillota; Bacilli; Caryophanales; Bacillaceae. The record is from RNAcentral.